RNAcentral lists this ribosomal RNA (253 nucleotides) under uncultured bacterium. RNAcentral's name for it is "partial 16S ribosomal RNA". It matches the Rfam family "Bacterial small subunit ribosomal RNA", at positions 524 to 776 of the family's 1533-position model. The record is from RNAcentral.
UACGAAGGGGGCUAGCGUUGCUCGGAUUGACUGGGCGUAAAGGGCGCGUAGGCGGUUCGUACAGUCAGACGUGAAAUUCCUGGGCUCAACCCGGGGGCUGCGUUUGAUACGUGCGGACUUGAGUGCGGAAGAGGGUCGUGGAAUUCCCAGUGUAGAGGUGAAAUUCGUAGAUAUUGGGAAGAACACCGGUGGCGAAGGCGGCGACCUGGUCCGAUACUGACGCUGAGGCGCGAAAGCGUGGGGAGCAAACAGG